RNAcentral lists this ribosomal RNA (826 nucleotides) under uncultured Bacteroidota bacterium. Its description in RNAcentral is "bacterial SSU rRNA". It matches the Rfam family "Bacterial small subunit ribosomal RNA", at positions 69 to 895 of the family's 1533-position model. The record is from RNAcentral. Lineage: Bacteria; Pseudomonadati; Bacteroidota.
UAAGUAGUGUAGCAAUACACUGCCUAGAGUGACGUACGGGUGCGUAACACGUAUGCAACCUACCCAAAACUGGAGUAUAGCUCGGGGAAACUCGAAUUAACCCUUCAUAGUAUCAUUGAAUGGCAUCAUUUGAUGAUUAAAACUCAGAUGGUUUUGGAUGGGCAUGCGUCUGAUUAGCUAGUUGGUAGUGUAAUGGACUACCAAGGCGAUGAUCAGUAGGGGAACUGAGAGGUUGAUCCCCCACACUGGCACUGAGAUACGGGCCAGACUCCUACGGGAGGCAGCAGUAGGGAAUAUUGGUCAAUGGAUGCAAGUCUGAACCAGCCAUGCCGCGUGCAGGAAGAAGGCCUUCUGGGUUGUAAACUGCUUUUGCCAGAGGAUAAAAUGGGCGUGCGCGCCUAAUUGAAGGUACCUGGUGAAUAAGCCACGGCUAACUACGUGCCAGCAGCCGCGGUAAUACGUAGGUGGCAAGCGUUGUCCGGAUUUAUUGGGUUUAAAGGGUGCGUAGGCGGUUGACUAAGUCAGUGGUGAAAUCCUAUAGCUCAACUAUAGAUGUGCCAUUGAUACUGAUUAACUUGAGUGAAGUCGAGGUAGGCGGAAUUGACGGUGUAGCGGUGAAAUGCUUAGAUAUCGUCAAGAACACCGAUAGUGAAGACAGCUUACUAGGCUUAUACUGACGCUGAGGCACGAAAGUGUGGGGGUCAAACAGGAUUAGAUACCCUGGUAGUCCACACUGUAAACGUUGAUUACUCGCUGUUGGCGAUACACAGCCNGCGGCCAAGCGCAAGCGAUAAGUAAUCCACCUGGGGAGUACGCCGGCAACGGU